AUAUUAUGAGGACACUCAACAGCCCUGUGGAGAGGCCCGCAUGGGAGGAACUAAGUCCUCCCACUAGUAGCCAGCACCAACAUGCCAGGCAUCUUAAUGCAUUCCUAACCAAAAUAAUCAGCAUGCACAAUAGCACCUCACUUUACUGGGAGUAACUUGUGUGAUGACUUACUUAUCUACAAUCUGAAAUGAAGCUGAAAGCCCAACUGAACACGAAAACCAAUACCACAAUGUCCAUACCAACCACCUUACCCUUAGGGCAAAGCAUCAGCUUAAGAAACCAGAUUGUAACCAGGAGGGGCUGAACCCAGAAGCUCAGAAUCUGCGUGUGGCUUGGAUAGUCGUGGAGUUCAGUGAGCCCCAUGCCUGGAGUCCUCUGUUCUGGAGUCAGGGCCCUCUGCCCCUCCCAGUGGAGGAGGGGCUCUUCUGUGUUCCAGUCACAGCCCAGCCACCCUCCUAAAAGGAUCAUUCCCAGGUCACCUGGCCUGAAUUUGGAAACUGGUGAGAUCACAGGCUGACCUUGCCUUCUGCCCUCAUAUCUCCAAUAAGCUGCAUAAGGGAGGAAAGGGCAACAGGGGCAGUGGCCUGGACAGCAGAUUCUUCUUGCUCAGUGGAGAAUGGCUCUGAAAUCCAAGAAAGUUGCAGACCACUGCCAGAUAGGCAGGACAAGAGUGCUUCAUCCAGAACCUACUCAACACUGAGGAACAGGAUGCAGGCCCCAGAGGAAAAGUUUAUUAGCAAAAGCAGCAGCCUUCUGCCUCUGCAAUGAAUUUACCAGGAGGAGCUGAGAGAGAACACUUAUGAAGUGACAUUGGCAUCCUCAGGCUAGAGAAGAAUGGCUACCAUCCUUUCUUAAGUGAACACAAGGCUGACCCUUGACUGUGACAUGGGUGAUGCAGAUACCUACAGGUGCCAAGAUGCCAACAUAAAUGAAAGAAACCAUUGAGCAUAAAAAAGUAAAAUAAAAACCAAUAAAAGGACAAAGCUCACAUGAUCAUCUCAAUAGGUACAGAAAAAUCUUGCGACAAAAUCCAAUACCUAGGGGUGCCUGGGUGGCUCAGUUGGUUAAGCAUCUGCCUUAGGCUCAGGUCAUGAUUCCAGGAUCCUGGGACAGAGCCCCAUGUCAGGCUCCCUACUCAGUGAGGAGGCUGCUU
Canis lupus familiaris (dog) is the source of this 1154-nucleotide long non-coding RNA. RefSeq lists it as uncharacterized. The transcript has 4 exons. The record is from RefSeq and is a predicted model, not a curated record. NCBI's taxonomy places the organism in Eukaryota, Metazoa, Chordata, Mammalia, Carnivora, Canidae.